Molecule: ribosomal RNA, 255 nt
Filed under: Escherichia coli
Lineage: Bacteria; Pseudomonadati; Pseudomonadota; Gammaproteobacteria; Enterobacterales; Enterobacteriaceae
Description: partial 23S ribosomal RNA
Rfam family: Bacterial large subunit ribosomal RNA
Source: RNAcentral
UAAAGAAAGCGUAAUAGCUCACUGGUCGAGUCGGCCUGCGCGGAAGCUGUCCCGGGGCUAAACCAUGCACCGACGCGGCGGCAGCGACACUAUGUGUUGUGGGGUAGGGGAGCGUUCUGUAAGCCUGUGAAGGUGUACUGUGAGGUAUGCUGGAGGUAUCAGAAGUGCGAAUGCUGACAUAAGUAACGAUAAAGCGGGUGAAAAGCCCGCUCGCCGGAAGACCAAGGGUUCCUGUCCAACGUUAAUCGGGGCAGG